ACGAACGCUGGCGGCGUGCUUAACACAUGCAAGUCGAACGGAAAGGCCCUGCUUUUGUGGGGUGCUCGAGUGGCGAACGGGUGAGUAACACGUGAGUAACCUGCCCUUGACUUUGGGAUAACUUCAGGAAACUGGGGCUAAUACCGGAUAGGAGCUCCUGCUGCAUGGUGGGGGUUGGAAAGUUUCGGCGGUUGGGGAUGGACUCGCGGCGUAUCAGCUUGUUGGUGGGGUAGUGGCUUACCAAGGCUUUGCCGGGUAGCCGGCCUGAGAGGGUGACCGGCCACAUUGGGACUGAGAUGCGGCCCAGACUCCUACGGGAGGCAGCAGUGGGGAAUAUUGCACAAUGGGCGGAAGCCUGAUGCAGCAACGCCGCGUGCGGGAUGACGGCCUUCGGGUUGUAAACCGCUUUCGCCUGUGACGAAGCGUGAGUGACGGUAAUGCGUAAAUAAGCACCGGCUAACUACGUG
This 467-nucleotide ribosomal RNA is filed under the name uncultured bacterium. RNAcentral describes it as "partial 16S ribosomal RNA". It matches the Rfam family "Bacterial small subunit ribosomal RNA", at positions 29 to 507 of the family's 1533-position model. The record is from RNAcentral.